This 113-nucleotide ribosomal RNA is filed under the name Octodon degus (degu). The record is from RNAcentral. Lineage: Eukaryota; Metazoa; Chordata; Mammalia; Rodentia; Octodontidae.
GCCUAUGACCAUACCAUCCUGAAUAUGCUUAAUCUUGUCUGAUCUCAGGAGCUAAGCAGGGUCAGGUCUGAUUAGUACUAGAGGCUGCCUAGAAAUAAUGGGUGCUGCAGGAU